GACAGAGGGUGCAAACGUUGUUCGGAAUUACUGGGCGUAAAGCGAGUGUAGGCGGUUCGGUAAGUCGGAUGUGAAAGCCCCGGGCUCAACCCGGGAAGUGCACUCGAUACUGCCGAGCUAGAGUAUCGGAGAGGUUGGUGGAAUUCUCGGUGUAGAGGUGAAAUUCGUAGAUAUCGAGAGAAACACCGGUGGCGAAGGCGGCCAACUGGACGAAUACUGACGCUGAGACUCGAAAGCGUGGGGAGCAAACAGG
RNAcentral lists this ribosomal RNA (253 nucleotides) under uncultured bacterium. RNAcentral describes it as "partial 16S ribosomal RNA". It matches the Rfam family "Bacterial small subunit ribosomal RNA", at positions 524 to 776 of the family's 1533-position model. The record is from RNAcentral.